UUACAUCUUUAAAAAAACUAAUCAACUAUAAUUGUUCAAUGAAAGAGAACUCGUUCCUUUCCCAUUGAAACGAUAUGUAUAGUUAGCGGUGGAAACAACAGCAACAGCAAAUGAGGUCUGUUCAGAAUAGAUUUUGGAGGGGUUCCUUUUACAUGUCUCUACCCCUUUUCAACUUAUUUGACGAACUUUGUGAAUGUAAAUUCAUCAUUCUUUUGUUUAGUCACAAGUCGAUAAGUCGCAACAUUUUUUUGGGCACCAUUCACAAUGUACGACAUCAAUGGUUCUCCAAACAACCCUGGUAGCUAAGCAUGCCACUAGUGAAACCAUUAGCUUAACCUAUGUUUACCUUGCAUCUAACUAUGCUAUUUAACUUGAACGAAUGAAUUAGCUUCCCUUGACAAAAAUAACAUACAUAAAACAUUAAAUGUGUUCUUUGAAAGAAUUAAGCUAUAUUGCCCGCGUGUUGUUCU
This 470-nucleotide long non-coding RNA is filed under the name Gossypium barbadense (sea-island cotton). RNAcentral's name for it is "long non-coding RNA (GBAR_LNC020486)". The record is from RNAcentral. Lineage: Eukaryota; Viridiplantae; Streptophyta; Magnoliopsida; Malvales; Malvaceae.